AAAUCAAAAUUAUAUAUAUAUAUAUAUAUGAAUUAAGCUCCUAUUCUUUUAAAAGUACCAAAUCAUUGGUGCUUGUAUAUUUUCGGCUUUGGAUUAAGGGAUGUGCGGUUAGAAUGAUGUGGGAAUAUAUAUAUAUAUAUAUAUAUAUAUAUAUAUGAAUUGAGCUCCUAUUCUUUUAAAAGUACCAAAUCAUUGGUGCUUGUAUGUUUUCGGCUCUUGGAUUAAGAGAUAUACGGUUUGGAUGAUGUGGGCCCCUUAGAGUUGAGUGGGUGGUUGGUUGAAUAGUAUAAUCUAACAGAUAAAAAUGAUCAAAGAUAUAGAUCUAACGAUAAAAAAUUUACAAGCACCAAGUGCUUAUGCUUUUACCGGCACCAUAGCGGGACUCAUAUAUAUAUAUAUAUUGUAUUAUUAUAGCAUAUACAGUGCGAACC
Molecule: long non-coding RNA, 431 nt
Filed under: Ananas comosus (pineapple)
Lineage: Eukaryota; Viridiplantae; Streptophyta; Magnoliopsida; Poales; Bromeliaceae
Description: long non-coding RNA (ACOM_LNC014292)
Source: RNAcentral